CUGGAUAAGAUGAGACCCAGUGUGCAGUGGUUGCAAACAGCAGCCUCCUUGGUAGCAUACGCAGCCUGUUACCUGUAUGGGUUGCCCUAAGGGACCUUGCAGACAGUG
This 108-nucleotide small nucleolar RNA is filed under the name Microtus ochrogaster (prairie vole). RNAcentral's name for it is "Small nucleolar RNA SNORA70 (ENSMOCG00000005750.1)". It matches the Rfam family "Small nucleolar RNA SNORA70", at positions 28 to 135 of the family's 135-position model. Rfam says of the family: snoRNA U70 seems to be exclusive to mammals and is a member of the H/ACA class of snoRNA which contain H (ANANNA) and ACA box motifs. H/ACA box snoRNAs are involved in the conversion of uridines to pseudouridines (5-ribosyluracil) a constituent of structural RNAs (transfer, ribosomal, small nuclear, and small nucleolar). Lineage: Eukaryota; Metazoa; Chordata; Mammalia; Rodentia; Cricetidae. The record is from RNAcentral.